This 173-nucleotide ribosomal RNA is filed under the name Mytilus galloprovincialis (Mediterranean mussel). RNAcentral's name for it is "Archaeal large subunit ribosomal RNA". It matches the Rfam family "Archaeal large subunit ribosomal RNA", at positions 1884 to 2089 of the family's 2987-position model. Lineage: Eukaryota; Metazoa; Mollusca; Bivalvia; Mytilida; Mytilidae. The record is from Rfam by way of RNAcentral.
CUUCUCGACUGUUUAACAAAAACAUUUCCUUUUGAUGUAAGUAAAAGGUAGCCCCUGCCCAGUGCAACUAGAGUAAUGUCUGUUGUAAACGGCGGCGUUAACGUGAGCGUCCUAAGGUAGCGCGAUAAUUUGCUUUUCAAUUGAAGGAUGGUAUGAAAGGGUUAACGAAGAAG